This is a long non-coding RNA of Erigeron canadensis, 293 nucleotides long. RefSeq lists it as uncharacterized. The transcript is spliced from 2 exons. NCBI's taxonomy places the organism in Eukaryota, Viridiplantae, Streptophyta, Magnoliopsida, Asterales, Asteraceae. The record is from RefSeq and is a predicted model, not a curated record.
CAGUUUAUCUCAUGCAGUAUGAUGUACAUACAGUUUAUGUGCUAAUGGAUUUUGCGUUAAUGAUAAGCAAUUGAAUAGGAUGAGCACGAGGAAAGUCAUAGCCGUGGAUGAUCACUUGCCGAAGGUUUGCAAGUGGUAUCUUUAAAUUACAGCCGAGUACAUUAUGCUUGUUACUUUACUAGCCCAUAUUUUGGAUGUAAAUAUGUAAUUUUUUAUAAGUUGACAAUGUGGUCAUUAAAAUGAGUCAUGUCAAAUAUUUUGGUUGUUUAUAAAUAGGUUGUUUUGAUUGAAAA